CCACCGGCGGACGGCUCAGUAACACGUCGGUAACCUACCCUCGGGAGGGGGAUAACCCCGGGAAACUGGGGCUAAUUCCCCAUAGGCCUGAGGUACUGGAAGGUCCUCAGGCCGAAAGGGACUUAUGUCCGCCCGAGGAUGGGCCGGCGGCCGAUUAGGUAGUUGGUGGGGUAAUGGCCCACCAAGCCGAAGAUCGGUACGGGCUGUGAGAGCAGGAGCCCGGAGAUGGACACUGAGACACGGGUCCAGGCCCUACGGGGCGCAGCAGGCGCGAAACCUCCGCAAUGCGGGAAACCGCGACGGGGGGACCCCGAGUGCCGUGGCAACGCCACGGCUUUUCCGGAGUGUAAAAAGCUCCGGGAAUAAGGGCUGGGCAAGGCCGGUGGCAGCCGCCGCGGUAAUACCGGCGGCCCGAGUGGUGGCCGCUAUUAUUGGGCCUAAAGCGUCCGUAGCCGGGCCUGUAAGUCCCUGGCGAAAUCCCACGGCUCAACCGUGGGGCUUGCUGGGGAUACUGCGGGUCUUGGGACCGGGAGAGGCGGGGGGUACCCCUGGGGUAGGGGUGAAAUCCUAUAAUCCCAGGGGGACCGCCAGUGGCGAAGG
This 600-nucleotide ribosomal RNA is filed under the name uncultured archaeon. Its description in RNAcentral is "bacterial SSU rRNA". It matches the Rfam family "Archaeal small subunit ribosomal RNA", at positions 75 to 672 of the family's 1478-position model. The record is from RNAcentral.